Molecule: ribosomal RNA, 388 nt
Filed under: Pseudomonas citronellolis
Lineage: Bacteria; Pseudomonadati; Pseudomonadota; Gammaproteobacteria; Pseudomonadales; Pseudomonadaceae
Description: bacterial LSU rRNA
Rfam family: Bacterial large subunit ribosomal RNA
Source: RNAcentral
CGGUCCCAAGGGUAUGGCUGUUCGCCAUUUAAAGUGGUACGCGAGCUGGGUUUAGAACGUCGUGAGACAGUUCGGUCCCUAUCUGCCGUGGACGUUUGAGAUUUGAGAGGGGCUGCUCCUAGUACGAGAGGACCGGAGUGGACGAACCUCUGGUGUUCCGGUUGUCACGCCAGUGGCACUGCCGGGUAGCUAUGUUCGGAAUAGAUAACCGCUGAAAGCAUCUAAGCGGGAAACUAGCCUCAAGAUGAGAUCUCACUGGGAACUUGAUUCCCCUAAAGGGCCGUCGAAGACUACGACGUUGAUAGGUCGGGUGUGUAAGCGCUGUGAGGCGUUGAGCUAACCGAUACUAAUUGCCCGUGAGGCUUGACCAUAUAACACCCAAACAAUU